GCCAGGCAUGGUGACUCAUGCCUGUAAUCCCAGCACUUUGGGAGGCCGAGGUGGGCGGAUCACUUGAGGUCAGGAGUUUGAGACCAGCCUGGCCAACAUAGUGAAACCCCAUCUCUA
Molecule: non-coding RNA, 117 nt
Filed under: Pan troglodytes (chimpanzee)
Lineage: Eukaryota; Metazoa; Chordata; Mammalia; Primates; Hominidae
Source: Rfam by way of RNAcentral